This 260-nucleotide ribosomal RNA is filed under the name uncultured archaeon. RNAcentral's name for it is "partial 16S ribosomal RNA". It matches the Rfam family "Archaeal small subunit ribosomal RNA", at positions 748 to 1008 of the family's 1478-position model. The record is from RNAcentral.
AGGGUGUAAACGCUGCAGACUUGGUGUUGGGAACCCUUCGGGGGUGCUCAGUGCCGGAGAGAAGUUGUUAAGUCUGCUACUUGGGAGUACGUCCGCAAGGAUGAAACUUAAAGGAAUUGGCGGGGGAGCACCGCAACGGGAGGAGCGUGCGGUUUAAUUGGAUUCAACACCGUAAAACUCACCAGGGAAGACUGUUACAUGAAGGCCGAGAUGAAGACUCUGCUAGAUUUUCAGAGAGGUGGUGCAUGGCGUGUGACUGU